UACAGAGGGGGCAAGCGUUGUUCGGAAUUACUGGGCGUAAAGGGCGCGUAGGCGGCCUGUUAAGUCGAACGUGAAAUCCCUGGGCUCAACCCAGGAACUGCGUCCGAUACUGGCAGGCUUGAAUUCGGGAGAGGGAUGCGGAAUUCCUGAGUGUAGCGGUGAAAUGCGUCAGAUAUCAGAGGAACACCGGUGGCGAAGGCGGAGU
This 205-nucleotide ribosomal RNA is filed under the name uncultured bacterium. RNAcentral describes it as "partial 16S ribosomal RNA". It matches the Rfam family "Bacterial small subunit ribosomal RNA", at positions 524 to 727 of the family's 1533-position model. The record is from RNAcentral.